Molecule: long non-coding RNA, 1655 nt
Organism: Orcinus orca (killer whale)
Lineage: Eukaryota; Metazoa; Chordata; Mammalia; Artiodactyla; Delphinidae
Exons: 6
Source: RefSeq, a predicted model, not a curated record
CAGAGGUACAAACUAAAGGCAGAGGGUUGUGGAGUAUUAGGGGAGUUACAAGUUCCAGCAUUUAGUACAGUGACUGGCACAUAGGAAGUAGUAAGUACUCAAUAAUAUUGAAUGAAUGAAUGAAAACAUCUUAGUUUAGCUGGCCUGUCUCUAAGGCAUAAUCCAAAGAGAACACUGAAAUUUGAAGGUCACACAGACAUUGAGAUUGACACAUGGAAAACAUGCCCUCACUCUAAGGAAUCACUAGUGAAUUUUGAAGGCUGUGAUGAACUUAGGGUAACCACAGCAAGGAGCAACCUUAAACCUAGUCCAAUUUUUAUAACUAUAUUAAUGAAAACCUACAUGAAAGGAAUAACAAUAAAUGACAUGACCGUUUCUAGGGCUUAAAUCUGUUUACCUGUUUCUACUGUCCUACAUGAGAUACCUGGGUUUGGGCCAAAAAAUAAAAAUUUACAAGACAUACAAAAAUGCAAGAAAAGUCACCACCCACCAAAAGACAAAGCAGUCAAGAACUAGACCCAGACUACCUCACACAGAAUUUUAAAUAAUAUGUUAAAGGCUCUAAUAAAAAAAGUGUACAACAGGCAAAUUAGAUGGGUCAUUUGAUCAGAGAUGGAACUAUGAGAAUCAAAUGGAAAUACUGAAAUGAACACAGUAAAGAGAUGGGAACAAUACCUUCAACAGGCUCAAAGGUAUACUUGACAUAGCCAAGGAAAGAAUAAGUCAACUUGAAGGUAAGUCAAUAAGAAUAGCCAAACUGAAACACAGAGGAGGGCAGGGGUCACAGAAUAAAUCGUCCAAGAGCUGUGGGAAAAGAUCUAUUGGUCCAACACAUGCAAAAUUGGAUUCCUGGAAGGAAUAGAGAAAUUGGGUGGGAAGAAAUAUUUGAAUAAACAAUAGAUAAUGACACCAGAACAAAAAUCUAUAAAGCUUCAAAGAAUACAAGGAAAGAUUUUUUUUUUAAAAGACGUUACAUAGGAACAAAAGGGGGAAAAAACUGUCUAUGAAAUUUUUCAUGAAAAUGUCUUUCAGAAUUGAUAGAGAAAUGAAGACUUUCUCAGAGGAGGAAAAAACAGAAAAUACAUUGCCAGAAGACCCUACUCUAACUUCAUUUAACAGUUCUUUAAACAAAAGGAGAUGCACAAAGAGAUCUGGAAAUGGAAUAAAUGAAGACAAAAGCUCAUCUACCUUGCCUGCUUCAUUAUUUAAGAUCCCAAAAGCCUCUACACAAGCCAACUCAAAGCAUGAACUUUUCUAGGGACCCUUUGGACAGACUGACUCCCUUUACUGAAAUCCCUGUCAUGCCAACAUUUCAGUUUUGGAAUUACAGCUUAGAAGCUUAACAACUUUUCUAUUUAAAUGACAUGUGUUUAAUACAAUUCAUCUACCUGGAAUUAAGAGAGAAAAGAAGAAGUUCUAAAGCACAAAUUGGUGAAUGAACUACAUAAGAAGUUCAAGGAUUUAACAGCUGUUAAAUGCAGUCUAAUAAUGAGAUUAUAGAGAAUGAGAAUGAAGGAAAAUUUAUGAAGAAAAUAAAUCAUGCAUAACUAAAGAUAUUUACCUAAGAGAAAUGAAAACGUAUGUCCACACAAAGUCCUGUAUGUGACCACUUCAUAUAGCCCCAAACUGCAAACAACCCAAAAGUGCAUCAACAG